CUACCUCAAGCCCAGCUUGGUGAUGGGCCCCGCCGCGAUGGCGAGCCCGAAACGCGUGUGAGCGCCGUGGUCCCGGUUCCGAGCGUAGCAAGAGUAGUCCUCCCUCGCUCGGAGCCCGCCAGGGUCGCCGUCAAACCGUACACUUUUUCACA
This 152-nucleotide unclassified non-coding RNA is filed under the name uncultured Venturiaceae. Its description in RNAcentral is "sequence contains ITS2". The record is from RNAcentral. Lineage: Eukaryota; Fungi; Ascomycota; Dothideomycetes; Venturiales; Venturiaceae.